UGGGGCGUUGUCUAACGGUAGGACGACAGACUCUGGAUCUGUUUGUGAGGGUUCGAUUCCUUCCGCCCCAG
This 71-nucleotide transfer RNA is filed under the name Spirochaetota bacterium. Its description in RNAcentral is "Spirochaetes bacterium (hot springs metagenome) tRNA-Gln". It matches the Rfam family "tRNA". From Rfam's summary of the family: Transfer RNA (tRNA) molecules are approximately 80 nucleotides in length. Their secondary structure includes four short double-helical elements and three loops (D, anti-codon, and T loops). The record is from RNAcentral. RNAcentral also lists the same sequence under 1 other name. Lineage: Bacteria; Pseudomonadati; Spirochaetota.